This is a long non-coding RNA of Homo sapiens (human), 3123 nucleotides long. The record is from Ensembl. NCBI's taxonomy places the organism in Eukaryota, Metazoa, Chordata, Mammalia, Primates, Hominidae.
AGGCGCGGCGAGGCGGGUGGCGCGCGGCAGCAGGGUUGGGCUCUCGCCGUGAGUCGACGAAGGGAGCGCGGGCGCGCGCCCGCGUCCGCGCACUGAGAGUCGCCUCGGCCGCUCGCUUUCUCGACUCCCGCCUCGCGCCUCGAUCCUGUUCCGCCUCCCUCGGCCCUCCUGCCCGCCCCCACUCGUCGGCCCUCAGCAUUGUCUUUGAAUAUUAGCAAAUAAUGGAACAUGGGCCAAGGGUGAACCAUGACGAAUUUGUGUUCCAGCAGCCCUGCUUCUUUAGAAUUGACAGUCUGGCUUCGUGGUUAAUUCACAGCAUCUGAGGAAUACAUCCAAAGAGGGUGAUACUGUGGCAUGAUGGUACCAGGAUUCCAAGUUCAUUCCAGAUCAUUGGGUAGAGACUAGAAAUGUACCGAGCAGUGCGCAAAGAAGAUGAGGAGGGUUCUACAGUUUCUCCAGAUACAUACCAUGACAAUUUGUUUUUUUAAAAAAGAAGAAAGCCUGCAGGAGAUUGUGGGGACAGCAGAAUGUGACUUCCAAGGCUAGGUCCUGAAAGAUGCUGUGACUUUCGCCUGAGUCUCUUGGAUCACUCGCUCUGGGGGAGGACUGCUGUCAUGUCAUGAGGACACUCAGGCAUCCCCAUGGAAAAGUCUGCAUGGAAAAAAUCUACAACUUUCAUCAAAUUACUCAGGGAGACUUUAUUCUAAAGAGACUGAAAACGACCAACAUCAAUUUUGACUCCUAUGGGCAUCUGUAAAUAGCUUCAAGGUUUUAAGGUGAAAUGUCAUGUACCAAAAUACACAUUCUGGAGAAGCAGGAAGCUACAGACCAACUUGAGAUGAAAGUCUCAUAUCAAUGUUUUCCCAAGUGUGCUCCUUGGAAUACAGGUUGACAUGAUAUGAUGCCCAGCAAGGGAAACAAAACAUAUUCAUGUUCAAAUUAGUUGGGGAAAUGCUGGACUAAAUAAGGUUUGAUGGGAUUCUUUUUUCUGCAGGACUUCUCAGAAGGGGCUAGAGUAGGCAAAGUUUCCCAGAUUUACCUAAUAAAAGCAUUGUUUCUGUGGGAGUUUCAUUUGUUAUUACAUGUUUCCUGAAUGCAGAUUCAUAGACUAUCCUUUGGGGAACCCUCGUCCUCACGGGAUGUAUGUUCAUGGUGGUGUCUUCGAGUUUGUGCCCUUGUGAAGCAUUCUGGCAGCAAGCAUCUGAACACUUCCAAAAGGGGGCGAUAUUUAGGAGAAAUCGCUCAGCCUGAGUUAGAACAAAUGCAGCUGCUGGUGUCUCUUGGUGCCUGGGAGCCCUAGAGUGUCAGAGGGAGGAGCGUGCACACUGGAACCAGCAGCCUGGUGCUGCGUCUCAGCUCUGUCGCUAACUGGCUAUGCACCUCUGGGCAUGGCACUUAACCCUUCUGAGCCCCAGCCCGCCAUCUGUAAAAAGGGCUUGAUGUGAGGAUUGAAUGAGAUCAUGCAGGGAACACAAUGUCUGGCACUUGGAAGCGUCCACCAUAAAGAGCCAAGGCAGUAGAUGGCCCAGCUGGGUUUGGUCCAGGCAGAGUUUACCCUCUGCCCUGGAGGCUCCAGGAAAUGCUGCCACGUGGCUCCUAUUGCCUUAACCACAUCCGACCUGUUCCUGACAGCUCCCCACAUCUCCAGCUCCUUUGCUGGUGCUCCAGGCACCUCCAAACGUGGCGAGCCCCUCUCCCCUGCCCUCUUGUGGCAGCUGACCUGGCAGGAGUGGGACCAAGACAUCCAAGGCAGCUCCUUUCCACCUGCAUGGGCACUUUCCUCAGGACAUCCUUGCCCCUGGCACCACCUUGGGCCAGCAAGCCACAUGGAAAUGGAUGCAGAGGCACCACUGUUUGCUGACAAUUAUACACUGUCCUUAAGGUCACCCUUGGCGAUCUGUCACCAGGAGCAGACAAACCCACACCUCAACCAUCCCAUCAGAGCUUGUUUCUAUCUGCAUCUGUCAUCGCUGAUCGCAUUUGAAUGGGUUUAGUCUCUAUUUUAAAUAAAAGAUUUAUGCCUUAGCUGUCAGAGCCUGCCUUUAUUUGAAAAUUUAAUCUUGUUUCUAGGAGUCUAGAUUAACUUAUUAGAUUUAGGCGUCCCUCGUGGGUCUCUGAGAGAGGAGGAGUAGAUUCUCCUCCCUGCAUUCGGCCCUGCACACCCGACAGUGAGAGCCAAGAGCUGGAUGGGCUUCUCCAUCCAGCACGCCCAGGCUGGACAGAGGCCCCCAACUCAGGCAACUUUGUCGGGUAACCGUGUGUCCAGGGAGUGCUUUCUUGCACGCUCCGUCUCCGGGCCAGCUUCCAGGACCUGUGCUCACUGCAAGGGACACCCAUCAAGCCGGCCCUUUCUCAGAGGUUUUGGGGAGGCUUCAGGAAGGACCCCCAGUGGGGGCCCAGCUUGUCAACAUGGGCUGUGCCAAGGAGUUCUGAGUUUCCUUCAGGUCUGUAUUGUAUCUUCCACCCCCUCAGAGCUCCCUCCCUACUGCUUAGACCACACGAAGCUGUGGGGCUGUGGGCAGCCAGUUCACUUCCCUGACCUUGUCUGCAGGUGGAGACAGUGGCAGUGCCCCUCCCGGGCUGCUGCGUCACUCAGUGUAAAAGCAGGGAGGCACUGGAGAGCUGCUGUCUGCAAGUUUGUUGCUACUUCAAAAGGUGCAGGUGGGCCCUCACCUCCUUUAGAGGUGAGGAUGAGCUACCCAAAGUGAAAAGGAGCUUCUCAGCGUCGCAAUGGAGUCACGGCCAGGCUGCCCACACCAGCCGUCCGGACCUGCACCAGUGCCACGGGGUCUGCCCCAUCUUCUCUUCCCUCUCCUUCCCCUCUCCCUCUCUCUCCCUGUCUCUUUCUCCUCUCUCCAUGCUAUUGACUGAAUGUUUGAAUUCCCUGCAAAUGCAUUCCUAACCCCCAAUGUGACUGUGUUUGGAGACAGGGUCUUUAGGAGGUAACUGAGGUUAAAUGAGGUUGUAAAGAUGGGGCCCUGAACCGAUGGGACUGGGGUCCUUAUGAGAAGAGGAAAAGGGGUCCCUCCCCAUGGAGGGACGACCACAGCGAGGCAGCAGCCGCCCACACGCCAGAGAAGGGGACUCAGACGGAAGCCUUGCUUCACCGGCACCUUGAUCUUG